RNAcentral lists this unclassified non-coding RNA (291 nucleotides) under Stereum rugosum. RNAcentral's name for it is "partial contains 5.8S ribosomal RNA, internal transcribed spacer 2, and large subunit ribosomal RNA". The record is from RNAcentral. Lineage: Eukaryota; Fungi; Basidiomycota; Agaricomycetes; Russulales; Stereaceae.
CGCACCUUGCGCCCUUUGGUAUUCCGAAGGGCACACCUGUUUGAGUGUCGUGAAAUUCUCAACCCUCUUCGCUUUUGUUGCGAAGCUAGGGCUUGGACUUGGAGGCUUUUGCCGGCUCUUGUCGGCUCCUCUCAAAUGCAUUAGCUACGUCUUGUUGCGAGCGGUCCUCGGUGUGAUAAUUAUCUACGUCGUCGUCGCUUGCUUCUUUUCGGAGACGCGCUUCAAACCGUCCGAAAGGACAAUUCAUCGAAACUUGACCUCAAAUCAGGUGGGACUACCCGCUGAACUUAA